RNAcentral lists this ribosomal RNA (254 nucleotides) under uncultured bacterium. Its description in RNAcentral is "partial 16S ribosomal RNA". It matches the Rfam family "Bacterial small subunit ribosomal RNA", at positions 524 to 776 of the family's 1533-position model. The record is from RNAcentral.
GACGAACCGUGCGAACGUUAUUCGGAAUCACUGGGCUUAAAGCGCGUGUAGGCGGGAGGGCACGUCGGUCGCUGAAAUCCCCCGGCUCAACCGGGGAAGUGGCGCCGAUACGACCUUCCUGGAGGAACGUAGGGGGACCUGGAACUUCCGGUGGAGCGGUGAAAUGCGUUGAGAUCGGAAGGAACGCCCGUGGCGAAAGCGAGGUCCUGGACGUUUUCUGACGCUGAGACGCGAAAGCCAGGGGAGCAAACGGG